ACAAAUCGACACUCGAUUAAAUUCAUUUUUAUCUAAUGCACAAAACAAGACAUUCAUAGCCUUUACGUUUAAAGUGAAAGUCUUCUUCUCCAACUCAUUCCAAUCAUUCAUUGGAAGAGAAGACUUUUGAAAUCCAUUUUCUACAAUAUUCCAAAGCUCAAAAUCCAUUGAAAUCAGGAAGAUCCUCAUUCUUGUCUUCCAAUAAU
RNAcentral lists this long non-coding RNA (206 nucleotides) under Musa acuminata (dwarf banana). Its description in RNAcentral is "long non-coding RNA (MACU_LNC008722)". The record is from RNAcentral. Lineage: Eukaryota; Viridiplantae; Streptophyta; Magnoliopsida; Zingiberales; Musaceae.